AACACCUGCGCUGGCUGGUCCAGUAACCACUAACACGUGUGGACAUGUGCUGUUGCAGCUGGGAGCUGGGUGUUUAUAUAAUCUAGAUUUAAAUAGCCCUAUGUCGUCGCUGUCCUGGCUAGCGCAGAUCUACAGCCUCCGGGUAACAGGGGUGUGGACUCUGGGAAGGAGAAGCAGGAGGCAGCCGAAGAGCAGGUGCCCAAGCAGCAGCUGCUGCUUUCACCUUUGCCCUGAGCUCCAGUGCGGCCCAGCCCUGCCCAGCGGUAAUGACUCUGGCCUUUGGACUCUCCACUGCACUGAAGAGGAAGCCUGACGUCCUGGGCACACGCAUGGGGCACAUGUUCCCAAUGAAGGUGGUAAGAGCUUACACCCUCUAGGAAACUUUCCUGGACCGACUCCAUCAGAUGUGGAUAUUGCCUCCUCCAUGAGUCCUUUGGAAGAGGUUUCCUGAGAAGGGCCCGUUUCUCCUCCGUGUGUGCUUCCCUUCAACUGCCAGAAAAGAUUUCUACCCUCACAGGAGAGUAAUGAUCCGUAGUCUCACUUCUUGGGACUAAAUAAUCGCUUUCACAGGAGCAGCUACGUUUCAGUGGCAUCAAAUCAAGCAUCUGGAAAGCUCUCAAGAAUGAAGAGGGAUGGAUGGACAUAGGCAACAGGAAUCCUCAGCGGAGUCCUUACAGGUGUUUCUAAAAUUGCUAUGGUUCAGGAACUUAAAGUUGAUUUUUUGUUUCAUCUUGCACCAAUCCUCAAUUAAUCGAAGCAGAAACAGCUCUACUGGCUGCCAAUCCUUGGAAGGUAGGAGUCUGGGUUGAGGACCAGACUAAAGCUGACAAGCUCAGGGGAGGCCUGCAUGGUGGCCUUACAAACUCAGAGACCGAAAGCAACCACAGGUGACCUGAAUUAAAACUUCCUAAUAAAAGCGAGUCAUGGUGGGCAGUCAUGUCGAGGCCGGCAUCUUCUCUGACAAAGGUCAGUCUGUACCUUCACUGAGCCUGUCUAUUGUCUUUCUGCAUCUAGGUAACAUACCUUGGGAAUGUCAGGCUAAUUUCCUUUUUCCAGACCCCUCAGGGCACAAACACUGCAGCAGAGCAUAAACCACAAAACCCCUCACUGUUACUCGUGUUAAUUGUUAACUGUUCAUUAUCUAUACCCGCCAAGUAAAAGAAGUAUGUGUCUAUUCAUUUUACUUGUUAUCUAAUCCCCAAGAUUCCCCCAUUUUGCUUCCCUAAUCUAUCAACAAUGGAUUUCAUGUAACCUCCUUUGAUUCUGAUGUAUAAAAUAAAUGGUAAAACUGCCAUUUUCCAGAGCAUCUUCUCAAUCCGUUGAGAGUUUGCCUCCCGGUAAUUGUCAUCAGUUUGGCUCAAAUAAACUCAUAA
Molecule: long non-coding RNA, 1373 nt
Organism: Myotis brandtii (Brandt's bat)
Lineage: Eukaryota; Metazoa; Chordata; Mammalia; Chiroptera; Vespertilionidae
Exons: 2
Source: RefSeq, a predicted model, not a curated record